This 413-nucleotide ribosomal RNA is filed under the name uncultured bacterium. Its description in RNAcentral is "bacterial SSU rRNA". It matches the Rfam family "Bacterial small subunit ribosomal RNA", at positions 28 to 434 of the family's 1533-position model. The record is from RNAcentral.
GAUGAACGCUAGCGGCAGGCCUAAUACAUGCAAGCUGAACGGCAAUCCCGCCAGCAAUGGCGGGACUAGAGUAGCGUAAGGGUGCGUAACACGUAUGCAAUCUGCCCUCAACAGGAGGAUAGCUCCCCGAAGGGGGAAUUAAGACUCCAUAAUAUCAUUUAAUGGCAUCAUUGGAUGAUUAAACUACCAGGGGUUGAGGAUGAGCAUGCGCAUGAUUAGUUAGUUGGCGGGGUAAAGGCCCACCAAGACUUUGAUCAUUAGGGGGAACUGAGAGGUUGGUCCCCCACACUGGCACUGAGAUACGGGCCAGACUCCUACGGGAGGCAGCAGUAGGGAAUAUUGGACAAGUGGGUGCAAAGCCUGAUCCAGCCAUGCCGCGUGCAGGAAGAAAGCCUUCUGGGUUGUAAACUGUC